Anguilla rostrata (American eel) is the source of this 1064-nucleotide long non-coding RNA. RefSeq lists it as uncharacterized. The transcript is spliced from 3 exons. NCBI's taxonomy places the organism in Eukaryota, Metazoa, Chordata, Actinopteri, Anguilliformes, Anguillidae. The record is from RefSeq and is a predicted model, not a curated record.
CUAGAAUUCCGUUAUAAGUAGCUGUAUCUUCAGUGGCGCGGAGGCGCGUUGGAAUAGGCUACCCGUAGUUUGCGUAAUGUUCUGCGGCUCGACGGGCACAAGGCGUUUUUUUCAGUCAAUCCUUAAAUGUUAAGAAUACCAGAGCUUGGUAAAGCUACCCUAUACGACUGUCAUUUAGGGAGAGAUGACCACAACAACCGCACCGUAUGAGCUAUUUUUGAACGUUUUGUCCCGGUCACAUUUGGGAUUUCUAGAUAUGUAGGGCGUUUCAAGUUAACUACAAAUGAAUAGCGGUCUCCGGAUGUGCCACUGUAUAUCUUAUGUACGUUUUUGUAGUAUAGAUAUUAUCAUACAUCCUAUGCUCAUCGCGCACUUAUUUCAGGAAUGGGGAAUCAAGCCGAUAAAUAUUUAUCUAAAUUGUACAGUCCACUGGGGAUGGGACUGCGGUAAAAAAAAAGAAGAAAAAAAAAGAAAAAAGAAAUGCAAUCGCCGGAUAUACAAAAUAGAUUAGAUUAGAUUUAAGAGUUUUUAUAAGGGGAAAUAAGGGAAGGGAAAGCUGAACAGGCGGAGAGUUGAGCAGGCGGGUCACCAGCGCGAAACGCUAACUUUUAAUUGGACGCUUGCAGUUAGCGCUCCACCCAGAAAACGUAAACUUUCUUCCUCUUGGACCGUUUCUCACGGCUUUAGCGAAAUUGUGAAGACAGAAGUGUGAGUAGUAGGGCUCUAUCGAGUUUGAUGUUAGAAUCUAUAACACAUUUCGUUUGAUUCUGUCACCAUACGCAAAGAGGGUCGAGAAGAGAGGACAGAAACGAAAACGCGAGCGCGUGCUGUUGACAUGCCGGGGGGCAUCAGCAAAUAAUCCACGCGCAACUGUCACCGAUAGAGCCUCAUCAUGAGGGUGCUGUCCUUUAACGGGGUCUUGUAUACGACGCUUCUUGGCCUUUUGAUGUUUUGUAAGGUUUCAUGUGAACAGUCAGACUUAAUUACAGGGGAAAACAGUACCACAGUGACCACAAUCAGUGGACCCUUUUCUGAAGACUCAGAUCCUGUUUCCAAUGCAACAU